UACGAAGGGGGCUAGCGUUGUUCGGAAUUACUGGGCGUAAAGCGCGCGCAGGCGGUCUUCCAAGUCAGUGGUGAAAGCCUGGAGCUCAACUCCAGAACUGCCAUUGAAACUGUUAGACUUGAGUACGAGAGAGGUGAGUGGAAUUCCCAGUGUAGAGGUGAAAUUCGUAGAUAUUGGGAAGAACACCAGUGGCGAAGGCGGCUCACUGGCGCGUAACUGACGCUCAGGCGCGACAGCGUGGGGAUCAAACAGG
This 253-nucleotide ribosomal RNA is filed under the name uncultured bacterium. Its description in RNAcentral is "partial 16S ribosomal RNA". It matches the Rfam family "Bacterial small subunit ribosomal RNA", at positions 524 to 776 of the family's 1533-position model. The record is from RNAcentral.